Molecule: long non-coding RNA, 1927 nt
Organism: Triticum aestivum (bread wheat)
Lineage: Eukaryota; Viridiplantae; Streptophyta; Magnoliopsida; Poales; Poaceae
Exons: 2
Source: RefSeq, a predicted model, not a curated record
UCUGUUCUGGAUCAUCGGCCGUUACUCCCUCCCUGACCCUGGCAAGUAAGCUUUAUCACAAGAUUUCAUGCUGUGUUCUGUAGCUAGCUAGAGCAUUGAAUUCUUCGUGAAAGGCCAAUGAAUUCUCUUGAUAUAGAUUAGUUGAUGAAGUAAUCGGUUAGGUAUAUGUGUUUCUAUGAGCACUGUUGUUGACCCCGUUAUGCCCUGUAUGGAGAGGAGAAGAGUCACGAGUGGUGGUUUUCAUGGCCUCUAGUGGCAAUACGGAAUCCUGCUUUCAGGUUGUAUUUGCUACGUCAAUAACUGAAACACCAGCCACCCAGUUGACUAUUGAUAUUAAUAGCUCAAUUUCCAGCUGAUUUUUGAUCUCAGUCCAUGCUCGCCAAAGUAAUUAAUUAGUUGGUUUUUGCAUAUACAGGAUUUGAGAACUUUACGUCAUUUCAUAUGUAUACCCAUGAGAACUCCAGUUGACUUCCUGGUAUAUUUUAUAUAUCUUCUGAGUUUCAGCAUUAAGAUAAGCUAUGAUGCUGAGACAUUACGUAAUUUUCUGUAAUGUGAUGUUUAGCAUAUCAGCUUCCCAGCUUUCUUGAAAUAAUGUGUAACACUGUGCAUAACUUUUACUUGGUUUAUUUGGUAGUUGAACUACAAUCCUACUGACGAUGCAAAAGUUAUGCUAAUAGCAAGGACUACUUGACUUGUACAGUUCCAUUAUUUGGAUUUCAGAGCAGCCACUUGCAGAAAACAUAAUAAGGUAAUUAAGCUACUUUCUAGAAUAUGCUGGAUUGUAUAAAUCCUGAGUAAUGAUGUGUGGUUCCGAAGCGGUCCAUAAUUUUGUUCCAAAAUUGGCGUUUUUUCCACCCUUUUCAUGUUCUGAAACAAUACAAUAUGCAUGCACAAGGCUUUUUGAAUUACGUUAGCUGUAUGUCUUAUGUAAAUUGUACACUCCAAUUAAAGAGUUGUUGUGAUUAGUCAUGGUCAGUGUGUAUAUACCGUGCUGUGUGAAUAGUCUGUAGCUUCACAGAAACUGUAAGCAUGUCGCUCCAUCAUUUCUUAACAUUUUCAUAUUUAGGUCCUUCUGUUUGUCUGCAUAAGCAGUGAUUUUGUCUGGACUAAUUUAUUGUUAACCAAACACGAAUUACCAUGGUAACCAGCUUGAUGUGUUGAAUAACUCAAUUAGCCCCUUUACCACAACUGGUGUGUAACUAAUGUUUAAAUUAUGUUUACAAGCACAAACUGAAGGUCUAUUUGUACUCUGUUAUAUUUUACUCAUGCUUGGACCAGGACCUCAUGAGGAACAACAAUUGAUGCAGGUUCGUGUUGCUCCAACAGAUUCUGCACCGUAUGCCGUAAAAAAUGUGUAUCUUUGUCCAUUUGAUAUGUUCACCAUUGGAAGCAAUCGGAGCAAAUGUUAACACUUAUGCAAUGAUUUCUGCCAUACACUAAGACGCCUAUAUUAGCCUCAUAUAGUUUAAGUAUGUAACAUGAACCCUCGAGGAAAGUUAUGAAUACAUUUCCAUCUAUGUAUGCUAGUAAUUUGUCGUGUAUAAUAAAGAUUGCAUGGCCUUCCACAUUUGUACGUGACUAAUAACCUGCCUCUAUCACUACUUGCACCAUGUCAAUUCAUUGCGUUAAUGGUUCAUUUUGUUAUUUUCUUUGUAUUUUCAGAAGAUACGGAUGAUUAUAUGGGUGUGUAACAAGUAUACUGUGAUGUUCCGGUUCAUAAUGAUGAAGAUUGAUGCUUUCAGCUUUAGUUAAGUUGUAGGGAUGUGGUUCCUGUUGGAUGAUGUUCCUCGGUUAAGUUUUACUUAAGUUGUAGAGUUGUCAAGAAAAUAUUUAGAUUAUGCAUCACAUUGGGAUGAUGUUCCUCCUGUAAUAUCCACUAUUGUAAUCCAACAUUUUUAUCCAAUAUAUGAUUUCUUCCUCUUAUGAG